RNAcentral lists this transfer RNA (70 nucleotides) under Camelus bactrianus (Bactrian camel). It matches the Rfam family "tRNA". Rfam says of the family: Transfer RNA (tRNA) molecules are approximately 80 nucleotides in length. Their secondary structure includes four short double-helical elements and three loops (D, anti-codon, and T loops). RNAcentral also lists the same sequence under 2 other names. The record is from Rfam by way of RNAcentral. Lineage: Eukaryota; Metazoa; Chordata; Mammalia; Artiodactyla; Camelidae.
GAGGGUAUAGCUCAAUGGUAGUGUGUGCUUAGCAUGCACAAGGUCCUGGGUUCAAUCCCCAGUGCCUCCA